RNAcentral lists this ribosomal RNA (253 nucleotides) under uncultured bacterium. RNAcentral describes it as "partial 16S ribosomal RNA". It matches the Rfam family "Bacterial small subunit ribosomal RNA", at positions 524 to 776 of the family's 1533-position model. The record is from RNAcentral.
UACGUAGGUGGCAAGCGUUGUCCGGAAUUAUUGGGCGUAAAGCGCGCGCAGGCGGUCCUUUAAGUCUGAUGUGAAAGCCCACGGCUCAACCGUGGAGGGUCAUUGGAAACUGGGGGACUUGAGUACAGAAGAGAAGAGUGGAAUUCCACGUGUAGCGGUGAAAUGCGUAGAGAUGUGGAGGAACACCAGUGGCGAAGGCGGCGACCUGGGUAGAUACUGACGCUGAGGCGCGAAAGCGUGGGGAGCAAACAGG